Molecule: ribosomal RNA, 253 nt
Filed under: uncultured bacterium
Lineage: Bacteria
Description: partial 16S ribosomal RNA
Rfam family: Bacterial small subunit ribosomal RNA
Source: RNAcentral
UACAGAGGGGGCAAGCGUUAUUCGGAAUUAUUGGGCGUAAAGGGCGCGUAGGCGGCUUGGCAAGUGGAAGGUGAAAUCCCUCGGCUUAACCGAGGAACUGCCCUCCAAACUGCUUUGCUUGAGGCCGGGAGAGGUGAGUGGAAUUCCCAGUGUAGCGGUGAAAUGCGUAGAUACAAUCAAGAACUCCGAUUGCGUAGGCAGCUAACUAGGCUGUAACUGACGCUGAGGCACGAAAGCGUGUGGAGCGAACAGG